GACGAACGCUGGCGGCGUGCCUAAUACAUGCAAGUCGAACGCUUCUUUUUCAUCGAACUUCGGUUCACCGGAAAAGAGGAGUGGCGAACGGGUGAGUAACACGUGGGUAACCUACCCAUUAGAGGGGGAUAACACUUGGAAACAGGUGCUAAUACCGCAUAACGCUGUUUUUCGCAUGAAAGACAGCUGAAAGGCGCUUUUGCGUCACUAAUGGAUGGACCCGCGGUGCAUUAGCUAGUUGG
This 242-nucleotide ribosomal RNA is filed under the name uncultured bacterium. RNAcentral describes it as "partial 16S ribosomal RNA". It matches the Rfam family "Bacterial small subunit ribosomal RNA", at positions 28 to 252 of the family's 1533-position model. The record is from RNAcentral.